RNAcentral lists this transfer RNA (72 nucleotides) under Claviceps pazoutovae. Its description in RNAcentral is "tRNA-Sec". It matches the Rfam family "tRNA". Rfam says of the family: Transfer RNA (tRNA) molecules are approximately 80 nucleotides in length. Their secondary structure includes four short double-helical elements and three loops (D, anti-codon, and T loops). The record is from RNAcentral. RNAcentral also lists the same sequence under 2 other names. Lineage: Eukaryota; Fungi; Ascomycota; Sordariomycetes; Hypocreales; Clavicipitaceae.
AAGAGUGUAGUUUAAUUGGUAAAAUUGGAAGCUUCAACCUUCAAGACCUUGGUUCGAGCCCGAGUACUCUUG